Molecule: ribosomal RNA, 385 nt
Filed under: uncultured bacterium
Lineage: Bacteria
Description: bacterial SSU rRNA
Rfam family: Bacterial small subunit ribosomal RNA
Source: RNAcentral
AAUGGGGGAAACCCUGAUCUAGCCAUGCCGCGUGGACGAUGAAGGCCUUAGGGUUGUAAAGUCCUUUCAGCUGGGAAGAUAAUGACGGUACCAGCAGAAGAAGCCCCGGCUAACUCCGUGCCAGCAGCCGCGGUAAUACGGAGGGGGCUAGCGUUGUUCGGAAUUACUGGGCGUAAAGCGCACGUAGGCGGACUGAAAAGUUGGAGGUGAAAUCCCAGGGCUCAACCUUGGAACUGCCUUCAAAACUAUCAGUCUGGAGUUCGAGAGAGGUGAGUGGAAUUCCGAGUGUAGAGGUGAAAUUCGUAGAUAUUCGGAGGAACACCAGUGGCGAAGGCGGCUCACUGGCUCGAUACUGACGCUGAGGUGCGAAAGCGUGGGGAGCAAA